This 682-nucleotide long non-coding RNA is filed under the name Cyanistes caeruleus (blue tit). RNAcentral's name for it is "lncRNA (ENSCCEG00000019346.1)". The record is from RNAcentral. Lineage: Eukaryota; Metazoa; Chordata; Aves; Passeriformes; Paridae.
AUAUAAUUAUUUUACAACAGCAAAGAUUUUAUUUGCUAUUUUAAAUGUUUUCCCUGUUUUUUACUUUAAGAGAAGAAGAAUAUAAAUGUUCUAGAAGAAUAUAUGCUGAGGAUAGCUUUCAGCUGCUGCGCUCUUAACUUAAGCCAAGUGCCUUGGAAGUGCAGUGAUUGCUCAGGAGCAACAAGGGACCUGCAGCACCUCCUCUGGGUACAGCAGAGGCAACUUCACCUGGUGUACUGGGAAUAGUUGGGUGGCUUUGACUUUCCCCCUCCAGAAUAUGUAGGUAAGCACCCCUCUCACCUGUCUUAACUCUGCAUAGAUAUAAAGUAUAUGAAUAUAAAAUACCUAGGAUGGAUAACAAAGAAAACAUGUAUUCUUAAUCCUUGUCUCACAUGUAUGAAUACUCAGAGUGAAUCAUGCAUCAUUAGUCCGAGAUAUACCAAGCAAGAAAAAUCUUAAUGCCAAAUAUCUAAGGUUUAUUUAAUAGAUUUUUUCCCUUGUAAAUUCAUUGUUUAAGGGACUCCUUUGCAUUUAAUUUCAAUCCUGCCAGAUUGGUAAAUUAAUUUUUCUGCUCUUUAGCAAGGGAGACAGAACAUCCAUAAAAACAACAUUUUACCAACACAUAGUAUAAAUGGUCUGCUAUUCUAAGGACAAAGAGCAAUAAAACAAAAAUGGGAUAUCA